GCCUGGGUGGCUCAGUAGGUUAAGCGUCUGACUUCAUCUCAGGUCAUGAUCUCAUGGUUCGUGGGUUGGAGCCCCGCAUCAGGCU
Molecule: transfer RNA, 85 nt
Filed under: Felis catus (domestic cat)
Lineage: Eukaryota; Metazoa; Chordata; Mammalia; Carnivora; Felidae
Rfam family: tRNA
About the family: Transfer RNA (tRNA) molecules are approximately 80 nucleotides in length. Their secondary structure includes four short double-helical elements and three loops (D, anti-codon, and T loops).
Source: Rfam by way of RNAcentral